Molecule: ribosomal RNA, 496 nt
Filed under: uncultured bacterium
Lineage: Bacteria
Description: partial 16S ribosomal RNA
Rfam family: Bacterial small subunit ribosomal RNA
Source: RNAcentral
ACGAACGCUGGCGGCGUGCCUAAUACAUGCAAGUAGAACGCUGAAGAGAGGAGCUUGCUCUUCUUGGAUGAGUUGCGAACGGGUGAGUAACGCGUAGGUAACCUGCCUUGUAGCGGGGGAUAACUAUUGGAAACGAUAGCUAAUACCGCAUAACAAUGGAUGACACAUGUCAUUUAUUUGAAAGGGGCAAUUGCUCCACUACAAGAUGGACCUGCGUUGUAUUAGCUAGUAGGUGAGGUAAUGGCUCACCUAGGCGACGAUACAUAGCCGACCUGAGAGGGUGAUCGGCCACACUGGGACUGAGACACGGCCCAGACUCCGACGGGAGGCAGCAGUAGGGAAUCUUCGGCAAUGGGGGCAACCCUGACCGAGCAACGCCGCGUGAGUGAAGAAGGUUUUCGGAUCGUAAAGCUCUGUUGUAAGUCAAGAACGGGUGUGAGAGUGGAAAGUUCACACUGUGACGGUAGCUUACCAGAAAGAGACGGCUAACUACGUG